AGUGAACGCUGGCGGUAGGCCUAACACAUGCAAGUCGAACGGCAGCACAGUAAGAGCUUGCUCUUACGGGUGGCGAGUGGCGGACGGGUGAGGAAUACAUCGGAAUCUACUUUUUCGUGGGGGAUAACGUAGGGAAACUUACGCCAAUACCGCAUACGACCUACGGGUGAAAGCAGGGGAUAUUCGGACCUUGCGCGAUUGAAUGAGCCGAUGUCGGAUUGGCUAGUUGGCGGGGUAAAGGCCCACCAGGGCGACGAUACGUAGCUGGUCUGAGAGGAUGGUCAGCCACCCUGGAACUGAGACACGGUCCAGACUCCUACGGGAGGCAGCAGUGUGGAAUAUUGGACAAUGGGCGCAAGCCUUAUCCAGCCAUACCGCGUGUGUGAAGAAGGCCUUCGGGUUGUAAAGCCCUUUUGUUGGGAAAGAAAAGCAUCAGGUUAAUACCCCGCUGUUCUGACGGUACCCAAAGAAUAAGCACCGGCUAACUUCGUG
Molecule: ribosomal RNA, 492 nt
Filed under: uncultured bacterium
Lineage: Bacteria
Description: partial 16S ribosomal RNA
Rfam family: Bacterial small subunit ribosomal RNA
Source: RNAcentral